Molecule: ribosomal RNA, 253 nt
Filed under: uncultured bacterium
Lineage: Bacteria
Description: partial 16S ribosomal RNA
Rfam family: Bacterial small subunit ribosomal RNA
Source: RNAcentral
UACGGAGGGUGCAAGCGUUAAUCGGAAUUACUGGGCGUAAAGCGUGCGCAGGCGGUUUGUUAAGUCCGUUGUGAAAGCCCCGAGCUCAACUUGGGAAUUGCAGUGGAUACUGGCAGGCUGGAGUACGGUAGAGGAAGGUGGAAUUCCCGGUGUAGCAGUGAAAUGCGUAGAUAUCGGGAGGAACACCUGUGGCGAAGGCGGCCGGCUGGGGGUACCCUGACGCUGAGGCGCGACAGCGUGGGGAGCGAACCGG